Molecule: long non-coding RNA, 1128 nt
Organism: Alexandromys fortis (reed vole)
Lineage: Eukaryota; Metazoa; Chordata; Mammalia; Rodentia; Cricetidae
Exons: 4
Source: RefSeq, a predicted model, not a curated record
CCACAGGCAAGCAGUUCAUUGUGCUCCAUUAAGGAAGACUCAAUAAAAGGACUGUAAAGAAGCUCAUGCCACUAGGAUGAAUGAGAAGAAAAUACACCAGAAACAGAAAGCUCCUACCCUUGAAUGUACGAAGCCACCACUAGGAGCCGGGCAGAAGUCACUCUGAAAAGGUGGCUAUGACAAACGAGCAGAGGAAGAAAAUUGGCUCAUGAAUAAGGAAGUAGCCGCUAAAUCUGUGAGAUCCAUACCAGGCUUUGGAUGAGAGACUUGGAGAGUGUGUUUCAUCUUGAGAUUUCCAGAGCAAGAUCAGGCUGUGUUCAAAACGAGAAUGAAGUUUAGCCAGCUGUGCGUGUGCUUAAACAGAAGAUAAAGGUUCCUACGGGAACACAGAUUACCCCAGACAAAGCCACGGGCCACAAGUUGGACAUGGUUUUCAGCCUCUUCAUUUUUUGCUCCGCAAGAUAAGAUCCAGUAAAGACACCUAUAGAAAUCAACAAAAAUAGAGAAAACCCUUGGAGGGGUAAAUACCUAAUGCUGUCUACACUAUAGUCUGUGCAGAAGAUAUUUUAAGUGCGUUCUUACCCCACGACUUAACUUACCCAGACAUCCUCCAUAUUCCAGCUUAGCCUUAAAGACUUUGCUUUUAUGUCAAGCAGUCAAGUAUCUCUCUUUCCAGUGUGACCUUCGGUUCCAGUUUCCAAGAACCCCAGUUAAAUAUGGCACCAAAAAGUUUUUAAAUUUUGCUCUAAUUCUUUUGUCAGAUACUGUAUUAUGAAAAAUGUCAUUUCGGGUUUUUUUUUCCUUUGUUUUCAUUGUUGGGGGGCAGUGGUGGUGGUACUGAGGUGGGGGUCAACCCCAGCCCUUGUACAUUACUGAAUUAAAUCUCCAGCCUUUCCAGACCUUUCUUCUCAUUUCUUUGAUGCUGUGAUUCUUUUCCAUUGACAACACAGGUUUGUCUAUAAGGCACAAACUGUCCAGAGGCUGGUUUCAAGUGACAUGACCUGAGCGGGCUCUUAGCCACGCACAUGCUUGAACUCUGACCCAGGAAAUGCUUGUCAUGGUUUCUACAAACGGCCACAGGAAAUUCCAGAAGGCCUAGAAAGCCUCAACUAUGCAGUCAUAUUUGAG